Long non-coding RNA from Heterocephalus glaber (naked mole-rat), 1032 nucleotides. RefSeq lists it as uncharacterized. The record is from RefSeq and is a predicted model, not a curated record. NCBI's taxonomy places the organism in Eukaryota, Metazoa, Chordata, Mammalia, Rodentia, Bathyergidae.
AGUCAGAGCUGUGCAACCUGUCUCUUGGAUUAAUCUUGACUGUCCUGCCCAUAUCAUCAUUUGGGAUUUUCUUGCCCUCCUGUGUUUCACUGGAGAUGUGGCCUCCCACAGGAAUGCUACACAAAAAGUGGCUACUUGAGAAGAAUGUGGGUAAGGAGGACCACAGAACCCAGGAUGGCCUCCUCUGCCUUCUUCCUGCUCUCUGCCACCACACACUGAGGGCCUAUAGCCUGCCCAUCACCUCAAGAUUCCGCAUGUGACCUCAGUGGGUAGUGAUGACAUCAGAGGGUCUGUUGGUUUCCAUGGUAGAGAAUAUAUGUAAACGUGAAGAGACCUGUCUACUGGAUCGCUCCUAAACACAAGUCUUUUUGGUUGUCUAAAAGAAAUGAUUGACCAGAUCAUCUAUCUUCAGGCUAACUUGUCAUCUGUCCCAUGGGAGGGCAGAGCAGCAGGAGCAAUGCUGCCCACAGCACCUCCUAAACCUCUUUACUACCAUGUCCUCUACCGAGGACAUGGAGAAACCCAGGUGAGCUGGCAUGGAGAAACCUACUGCCUGGUUGGUGGCUACAGGGCCUAUGGGGAUGCUGCCAUCCCCACCCCAGCAAAAUCCACUCCAGAGAAGUCAGCAUCCCUGAGGGCCUAUGGAGAUGCUUCCACUGCCACUGCUACAAAGGCCAAAGCUGAACAGCCAUCAUGCAAGCGGGCUCUCAAGAGACCUCAACACAUGGGAGAAUAUAAUGAACACUUAGGGUACCCCAGGCCCAAAAUGCGUUGCUUGAACAAUGGCAACAAGGACCAACAACACAUUGUUGGUUGAGCCAUGCCAUUAAGACUUAGUCUAGUAGAGGCCUAGUCUACCAGAUGGACUCCUGACUCCAUCAUAAGCAGCAAUCACCAGCAUAAACAAGGAUAAUAUGGCUUUCUUAAAUUGUGCUCUCAGAAAUACCCGCUAAGACUUCCAUCUCCUUUCUUCCCUGCCCUUAAUAUCCCCUGAGGGCUUCUCAUUGUUGAAUAAAAUUAUUUUCUGUAACA